GGAUGUGAUUAUUUCUCUAAUCUGAAAGUACAGUAUAUUUGAAUCCAAAAUCAAUAUUUAUUUCCCAUGUGAUUGGUUAUUGAUAAAAUUGCCUACACUAACUAGAGUUACCAGAGGGCCAGUUACAGGUCACAUAAAUAUACCUGCUGAGAUGCUGCACAUCCUGGCCCAUGUGGUUGAAGAACCCAUCCUAUAGGUAGUCCUCUCCUCACAUGCCAUUGGCCUGCAAAUGGCUGAGUCAACUGAUGUUGCGAUGACCAAGCAACUGGACAUCCACCUCCAUGUUUCUAUUAAUAAUGAAUAAUUACAAUCAGACAUUGUGUAAGGAUGGCAUGAUUAUUCUGAUGGAAUUUGUUUUAGGUACCCUGGCAAAGAAGGGUGGCUUUUUAACCAGCUUUUGAACAUCAUUGUUGAAGCUGUGUGAGAAGUGAUGGAAACAAAAGGCAACCAUGUGUUCGGUUUGGGAACUGACGGAAUUUCAGUGAUGAUGGGUAGUCUUCAACCCAUUCAUUUGAAAAAAUAUGUUUUAAGUUUUAAAUAGAAUAUUAGAGAAAAAUGAAAAAUUCAUUGUAAGUAAUAUGUUAUUUAAAUCAUUAAGAGGGCAACAUAAUUUAAAGUAUUUAGAACGGGUUGGUGGAUUGGAGUUGCCAAGCAGCUGACCAACACAUGGCUUUGGCUAGUGUCUUGCAUUUGUAAACUGUGCUAUAUACAGCUAUUCACAGCAAUGCUCCAGGCAGUUGCUACUUCGAUUGUAGUGGACCACCUCAAAGUGACUGUAAGUCUACCUAUUUAAGGAAAAACACUUGUAAGAGCUCAACUUUAUUGCCUUGCUAUUUUUCAUUAGGAGGUGAAGGACACAAGAUUGCUUUCACAAAACCAAACAUCUCAAGCACAUCUGGCAGCACACGUAGAGGAGGCGGCCAUCAAGAAAGAUCCUGUGGCGUGGGGCCUGUACACAUUCUGUGCUACAUACAGAUUUGUUGCUGUGUUCCACCUCAAAGCAGCUAUUGUUUUCCGUCUCAGUCGCUUGUCCAAACUGUUUCAAAGAGAGGACGUCAACUUCUUGAUGAUCAAACAACAUUGCUCUUGAAUGGGUUUCUGAAGGAAUUUGCUAGACUUAAAAUUAACCUGCUCUGUUUUAAUAUAUUUUAUGUCCCUGUUACCAUUGAGACCAGAGGCAGGAGACCAGUAACCUCACACUUCUGUGAGGUCAACCAGAUGGUCAACAGCCUAAACAUCCAGGCGGAGGAGGAAAGGGGGAAGAGACAGAAUGUGAGAGAAGAGGACCCAGGCACAUUAUGGACAUGGUUCCAAAAUGAGGACAAGUCUCAGCUGGUGGUCAUGAAGCAGAUGAUCUCUGAGCAUGAUAACAACUCUGCCCCAACUUAAACCAGCUCUUACAGUUCCAGUAUCCAGCAUCAACUGUGAGAGGCACUUAUCUGCAAUGAACAGGAUUGACGGCACCCAUACGGCAAGACUGCACCUCCUUGUUUUAUUUUAGCCUUGUCUUUCUGAAAAAUAAUUGUCAAAUAAUUAACAAAUGUUACAUUUACUAUUUUAACAAUUGAACAAAUGUAAGCAGG
This is a long non-coding RNA of Anguilla rostrata (American eel), 1583 nucleotides long. RefSeq lists it as uncharacterized. The transcript is spliced from 3 exons. The record is from RefSeq and is a predicted model, not a curated record. Lineage: Eukaryota; Metazoa; Chordata; Actinopteri; Anguilliformes; Anguillidae.